GUUGCUGUUUUUAUGUGUAUAAAAAAAAAAAAAAAAAAAAAAAAAAAAAAAUCUGUUCUUAUCAGUUUAAUAUCUGAUACGUCCCCUAUCUGGGGACCAUAUAUUAAAUUGAUUUUUGGAAUAGGGAGAUGGAAUAGGGGCUUGCUCCGUCCACUCCACGCAUCGACCUGGUAUUGCAGUACCUCCAGGAACGGUGCACCCCCU
Molecule: small nuclear RNA, 204 nt
Organism: Oncorhynchus tshawytscha (Chinook salmon)
Lineage: Eukaryota; Metazoa; Chordata; Actinopteri; Salmoniformes; Salmonidae
Gene: U2
Rfam family: U2 spliceosomal RNA
About the family: U2 is a small nuclear RNA (snRNA) component of the spliceosome (involved in pre-mRNA splicing). Complementary binding between U2 snRNA (in an area lying towards the 5' end but 3' to hairpin I) and the branchpoint sequence (BPS) of the intron results the bulging out of an unpaired adenosine, on the BPS, which initiates a nucleophilic attack at the intronic 5' splice site, thus starting the first of two transesterification reactions that mediate splicing.
Source: Ensembl